This 861-nucleotide ribosomal RNA is filed under the name uncultured archaeon. Its description in RNAcentral is "SSU rRNA". It matches the Rfam family "Archaeal small subunit ribosomal RNA", at positions 474 to 1337 of the family's 1478-position model. The record is from RNAcentral.
UACCAGCUCUCCGAGUGGUAGGGAUGUUUAUUGGGCUUAAAGCGUCCGUAGCUGGCUUUUCAAGUCUCUCGUUAAAUCCAACGAUUCAAUCGUUGGACUGCGGGAGAUACUGUUAGGCUUGGAGGCGGGAGAAGCCGACGGUAUUUCCGGUGUAGGGGUAAAAUCCUAUAAUCCCGGGAGGACCACCAGUGGCGUAGGCGGUCGGCUAGCACGCGCUCGACGGUGAGGGACGAAAGCUGGGGUAGCAAACCGGAUUAGAUACCCGGAUAGUCCCAGCUGUAAACGAUGCGGGCUAGGUGUUGGAGCGGCCACGAGCCGCUUCAGUGCCGCAGGGAAGCCAUUAAGCCCGCCGCCUGGGGAGUACGGCCGCAAGGCUGAAACUUAAAGGAAUUGGCGGGGGAGCACCACAAGGGGUGAAGCUUGCGGUUUAAUUGGAGUCAACGCCGGGAACCUUACCGGGGGCGACAGCAGAAUGAAGGCCAGAUUGAAGGUCUUGCUAGACGAGCUGAGAGGAGGUGCAUGGCCGUCGCCAGUUCGUGCCGUGAGGUGUCCUGUUAAGUCAGGCAACGAUCGAGACCCACGCCCCCUGUUGCUACCGAGGAGUUUUUCCAAGGAGCACUCUGCGGGUACUGCCAACGAUAAGUUGGAGGAAGGAGUGGGCUACGGCAGGUCAGUAUGCCCCGAAUCCCCCGGGCCACACGCGAGCUGCAAUGGUUGGGACAGCGGGCUCCGACCUCGAAAGGGGAAGGCAAUCCCAAAACCCAGCCUCAGUUGGGAUCGAGGGCUGAAACCCGCCCUCGUGAACAUGGAAUCCCUAGUAAUCGCGUGUCAUCAGCGCGCGGUGAAUACGUCCCUGCUCCU